RNAcentral lists this non-coding RNA (28 nucleotides) under Mus musculus (house mouse). The record is from RNAcentral. Lineage: Eukaryota; Metazoa; Chordata; Mammalia; Rodentia; Muridae.
UGCAAGGGCUAGUGUAUGCAGAAUACAC